UACGUAGGGGGCAAGCGUUAUCCGGAUUUACUGGGUGUAAAGGGAGCGUAGACGGCAGGGCAAGUCUGGAGUGAAAGCCCGGGGCCCAACCCCGGGACUGCUUUGGAAACUGCCAUGCUGGAGUGCUGGAGAGGUAAGCGGAAUUCCUAGUGUAGCGGUGAAAUGCGUAGAUAUUAGGAGGAACACCAGUGGCGAAGGCGGCUUACUGGACAGUAACUGACGUUGAGGCUCGAAAGCGUGGGGAGCAGACAGG
RNAcentral lists this ribosomal RNA (253 nucleotides) under uncultured bacterium. RNAcentral's name for it is "partial 16S ribosomal RNA". It matches the Rfam family "Bacterial small subunit ribosomal RNA", at positions 524 to 776 of the family's 1533-position model. The record is from RNAcentral.